AGACAUUUUUUUUAACUAUAACUUUUAGUACAUUUAUAGUGUUGUCUAUAAAAAGUUUAAUAUAUAUAUAUAUAUAUAAACCAGAAUAGGAUGCAAGGCCAAGCGGCCAAUUCCAAUCCCCAAAACCUAAGCCCUUACCCAGCCGUCACACCUCUCACCCGCUUCCCUCUUUGCGUUGUCAAUCAAAAUAUCAAAUUUGUAGCUGUUCUUUGAAUUUUCUUUCCUCACCACUUGUUGUUCACAAAUUGGUUCUCAUCGAUUUAAGGCGAGCAAUGGUAAUUCCAUUUAUAUUGAGAGUGAAGUCAUGUGAAGUCGACGACAAAGCAAAUUUGUGGAGUUAUUGGACCAACAAUGAUAAGUAAUCGAUAUUAAUCAAGCUACUAUACAAUUGGAGACAAUGAAAAAGGGAGAAGAUUAUGCAGCUUUGUAUCUCAUGCAAGACACUACCAUUGUAAUUGUUGUCAUAGAAAAAUUAUGUAUUGUGAAUAUUUUGAAUUUAACUAUGUAAUUAUGUGUAACUUGAAAUCCAUUUCGAAUCUAAU
Molecule: long non-coding RNA, 542 nt
Organism: Lycium barbarum (goji berry)
Lineage: Eukaryota; Viridiplantae; Streptophyta; Magnoliopsida; Solanales; Solanaceae
Exons: 3
Source: RefSeq, a predicted model, not a curated record